RNAcentral lists this ribosomal RNA (566 nucleotides) under uncultured bacterium. RNAcentral's name for it is "bacterial SSU rRNA". It matches the Rfam family "Bacterial small subunit ribosomal RNA", at positions 8 to 560 of the family's 1533-position model. The record is from RNAcentral.
AGAGUUUGAUCAUGGCUCAGGAUGAACGCUAGCGACAGGCUUAACACAUGCAAGUCGAGGGGCAGCGGGGGAGUAGCAAUACUCCCGCCGGCGACCGGCGCACGGGUGAGUAACACGUAUGAAACCUGCCCGUAGCAGGGGGAUAAGCGGAAGAAAUUCCGUCUAAUACCGCGUAACAACCCUUGGAGGCAUCUCCUCGGGUUUAAAGGGAGCGAUUCCGGCUACGGAUGGUCAUGCGUCGCAUUAGCUUGUUGGCGGGGUAACGGCCCACCAAGGCGACGAUGCGUAGGGGUUCUGAGAGGAAGGUCCCCCCACACUGGUACUGAGACACGGACCAGACUCCUACGGGAGGCAGCAGUGAGGAAUAUUGGUCAAUGGCCGCAGGGCUGAACCAGCCAAGUCGCGUGAGGGAUGACGGUCCUAUGGAUUGUAAACCUCUUUUGUCAGGGAGCAAAGGGCGCCACGUGUGGCGUUUUGCGAGUACCUGAAGAAAAAGCAUCGGCUAACUCCGUGCCAGCAGCCGCGGUAAUACGGAGGAUGCGAGCGUUAUCCGGAUUUAUUGGGUU